CCCCACCUCCCCGAUCUCGCCGAGCCCCGCCGCCGAGCCCCCCCCGCCCAGCGGCGGUGACAGCCUCCGCGUCUCCUGGAUGAUUUCCGCCGCUGUCGCCGCUGCAGCCGUCGCCGUCGCCUUCUAGAUCGGAUCAUCUCUCACCGCCGCGGAUUCUCGAUCAGAUGAUCAUCGGACGGUCGUCGUCGUCGCGCUAUUUUUCCUGACCUGAUCUGUGUUUUAUUGUACCGCCAUUGUUGUCGUCUUUAUCAAUAUCCUUUUUAUUUAUUUCUUUCUUUUCUUUAGAUUUUUUUUCUUUUCUUUUCUUGUACAUGAGAGAGUGAGGCAGUGAGUGAGAGAUUGAGAUUUGAGAGUUGUGGUGGUGGUGAUUGUUGUUGUAAUAAUAUUAUUAUUUUAGUGAUUCUUUUUUUUUUUUUCCAUUUUACCCCUUAUCUCUUCAACCAUUCUCCUAAUUCUUUGCUGCGGUUUGUGAAGGCAAAAUGCGAAAUUAGAUGACGCGGCCAUCGGAGCGGGACGAAAGUCGCCGACUUUAGCUAGUGGACGACUCUCUCUCUCUCUUAGAAUCUUCUGGUUAAUUUAAUAAUAUGAUUUUAGGAAAAAUAAUAUACUUAAAUCAGGAACGGACGAGAAUCUGACGUCACGUGCAGCGUGUGCCAGCUGUAUGGCAAAAGGACUCCGAGGCCAUGUGCGUGGGGAUUGGAAUCACGUGGGGUGGGGUUCCAAUGGAGGAAGUAGUGAGAGAGACAUAAAGCGGGAUUUGGGUGGUGGAAGGCGAUUGGGUGCACGUGUCGGUGGAUGGAGAAGUGGGGGGUAUACGGGGUUCUGGAAGUGGUGGCGGAGAUUUGUUGUUGAGGAGAUGGAAAAUUAGGGUUCGGUGGGAAGGGAAGAUGAGGGAGUGAGUGAGUGACUUGGUUUUUGGUUGCAUGUGAUGAUGAUGUUAGGGGAGAAUAGGUGAAGGAAUGGUAGGUAGGAGUGAACAAGUGAGCCUUCAUUUUUGUUUCAUGUCCAAAGAACUAGUGCUUGGCCAGGCUCGGCACAUUGGAAUCAAAUAAGGAUUAAAUAUUUGUGAUCAGGCGAGAGGACAUGAAAUUAUAUCAUGUCUGCAUGUUUAAUUUUGAUGAUGCAUUAAUAUUUCUUGGUUUGUUGUGUUCUCAUACUAUAUUCUUGUUAGUAAG
RNAcentral lists this long non-coding RNA (1175 nucleotides) under Elaeis guineensis (African oil palm). RNAcentral's name for it is "long non-coding RNA (EGUI_LNC031538)". Lineage: Eukaryota; Viridiplantae; Streptophyta; Magnoliopsida; Arecales; Arecaceae. The record is from RNAcentral.